AGAAGAAGAAAUAGCACCAAGCUUAUCUCCGGCUCAGUACUAUCACAGUCUGGCAUUUUCUUCCUCUCUUCCAUCCUCCUUAUACUACCCCGAGAUACCAAUUCCUAUAUUAUGGAUGAUAACUACUUUUCUUAACUAUUCAUCCAUUCUACCUGCUGAACCACCUUUUCAACAAUUAUUUAUCCUUAUUUAUACUAUACACUAGGUAUCUACAUUCUAAAAAUAACUACUUAUUUUACAUAGCUCCACUCCUAAUUAAAUAGCAUCUUCGUAAACACAAUAUUGAUAAACAAAAACCAAUCUUUCUUUUUUU
This 313-nucleotide long non-coding RNA is filed under the name Physcomitrium patens. Its description in RNAcentral is "long non-coding RNA (PPAT_LNC003149)". The record is from RNAcentral. Lineage: Eukaryota; Viridiplantae; Streptophyta; Bryopsida; Funariales; Funariaceae.